AACGUGCCCAGUAGCGGGGGAUAACUACUAGAAAGAGUGGCUAAUACCGCAUACGCCCUACGGGGGAAAGGGGGGGAUCGCAAGACCUCUCACUAUUGGAGCGGCCGAUAUCGGAUUAGCUAGUUGGUGGGGUAAAGGCUCACCAAGGCAACGAUCCGUAGCUGGUUUGAGAGGACGACCAGGCCACACUGGGACUGAGACACGGCCCAAACUCCUACGGGAGGCAGCAGUGGGGAAUUUUGGACAAUGGGGGAAACCCUGAUCCAGCCAUCCCGCGUGUAUGAUGAAGGCCUUCGGGUUGUAAAGUACUUUUGGCAGAGAAGAAAAGGUAUCCCCUAAUACGGGAUACUGCUGACGGUAUCUGCAGAAUAAGCACCGGCUAACUACGUGCCAGCAGCCGCGGUAAUACGUAGGGUGCAAGCGUUAAUCGGAAUUACUGGGCGUAAAGCGUGUGUACGCGGUUCGGAAAGAAAGAUGUGAAAUCCCAGGGCUCAACCUUGGAACUGCGUUUUUAACUGCCGAGCUAGAGUAUGUCAGAGGGGGGUAGAAUUCCACGUGUAGCAGUGAAAUGCGUAAAUAUGUGGAGGAAUACCGAUGGCGAAGGCAGCCCCCUGGGAUAAUACUGACGCUCAGACACUAAGGCGUGGGGACCAAACAGGAUUAGAUACCCUGGUAGUCCACGCCCUAAACGAUGUCAACUAGCUGUUGGGGCCGUUAGGCCUUAUUACCGCAGCUAACGCGUGAAGUUGACCCCCUGGGGAGUACUGUCGCAAGAUUAAAACUCAAAGGAAUUGACGGGGACCCGCACAGCCUCUGGAUGAUGUGUAUUAAUUCGAUGCAACGCGAAAAACCUUACCUACCCUUGACAUGUCUGGA
RNAcentral lists this ribosomal RNA (876 nucleotides) under Alcaligenes aquatilis. RNAcentral describes it as "bacterial SSU rRNA". It matches the Rfam family "Bacterial small subunit ribosomal RNA", at positions 123 to 994 of the family's 1533-position model. The record is from RNAcentral. Lineage: Bacteria; Pseudomonadati; Pseudomonadota; Betaproteobacteria; Burkholderiales; Alcaligenaceae.